This 447-nucleotide ribosomal RNA is filed under the name uncultured bacterium. Its description in RNAcentral is "bacterial SSU rRNA". It matches the Rfam family "Bacterial small subunit ribosomal RNA", at positions 329 to 793 of the family's 1533-position model. The record is from RNAcentral.
UUCCAGACUCCUACGGGAGGCAGCAGUGGGGAAUAUUGCACAAUGGGGGAAACCCUGAUGCAGCGACGCCGCGUGAAGGAUGAAGUAUUUCGGUAUGUAAACUUCUAUCAGCAGGGAAGAAAAUGACGGUACCUGACUAAGAAGCCCCGGCUAACUACGUGCCAGCAGCCGCGGUAAUACGUAGGGGGCAAGCGUUAUCCGGAUUUACUGGGUGUAAAGGGAGCGUAGACGGUAUGGCAAGUCUGAUGUGAAAACCCGGGGCUCAACCCCGGGACUGCAUUUGGAACUGUGUGGCUGGAGUGUCGGAGAGGCAGGCGGAAUUCCUAGUGUAGCGGUGAAAUGCGUAGAUAUUAGGAGGAACACCAGUGGCGAAGGCGGCCUGCUGGACGAUGACUGACGUUGAGGCUCGAAAGCGUGGGGAGCAAACAGGAUUAGAUACCCCAGUAC